AGUGAGCUGAGAUUGCACCACUGCACUCUGGGCAAUAGAGCCAGACCUUGUCUCAAAAAUAAAUAAGUAAAUGAAACAUGACUCGGAUUCUGCUUCCUUUUCUUUGUCAAACAGUAGUUUCCCACCUGAAUAAAAUCUCAGCUACAUUGUAGACUGCAGGAUUUUAUCUGAUUUGGUCUUGGCCCGCCUUUGCAACCUCAUCUACGUUCCCCGUUCCCUGCUUGCUCACUAAACUCUGAGGUGGUUCUUCUGUCUCCCAGAUAUUUUUGUAGCUCUUUUUUGAGAUGGAGUCUUACUCUGUCACUUAGGCUGGAGUGCAGUGAUGCAGUUUCAGCUCAUUACAACCUCUGCCUCCCAGGUUUAAGCGAUUCUCUUGCCUCAGCCUCCUGAGGAGCUGGGACUACAGACACCCGCCACCAUGCCUGGCUAAUACUUGCAUUUUUGAAGGACGGGUGUUCACCAUGUUGGCUAGGCUGGUCUUGAACUCCUGACCUCAAGUUAUCCACCUACCUCGGCUCCAAAGUGCUGGUAUUACAGGCGUGAGCCACCAUCCCUGGCCUUUGUAAAUCUCUUACAAAAGCCUUUCUCAGAAGAAUUUCACAUGACCUCUUUUCAUUCACGUUGUUUUGCUUGUUGUGCUUAAUUUUUCUUUUUUCAAGACAAGGUCUCCUUCUGUCACCCAGGCUGGAAUGCAGUGGUGUAAUCAUAGCUCACUGCAGCCUCAAACUCCUAGACCCAAGUGAUCAUCUUACUUCAGUAGAAUAGACCACAGGCAAGUACCGCCAUGCCUAGCUACUUAAAAUUUUAUUUUAUUUUUUUUAUAGAGACAGGGUCUCAGUCACUGUGUUGCCCAGGCUGCUCUCAAACUUCUGGCCCCAAACGAUCCUACUGCCUUGACCUCCCAAAAUGUUGGUAUUACACGUGUGAGCCACUGUGCCUGGCAAUGCCUACAUUUUUCCCCCCAUCUUCAUCACUUAUUCACACAGAGAAAAUUUUCAGGAGAAAAAAUGGAGUCAUGGUAUGGAUUUAUUAUUUUUGAGACAAGGUCUGGCUCUAUUGCCCAAUUAAAGUGUUUGGAUGAGUAUUACAGAUUGUUUAUUCAUUCAGUAAAUUUUUAUUGAACAUUUUGUUUCUGUCUGUGCAUAUAAUAGUGAAGAAAAUAGACACUGUCCCUAUCUUCUUUGUGUUUGAUGUCUAGUAGGUGGCAAGAGAAAAAUCAGGUACAUAAAGAAAUUCUUAGGCAACUGCAUCAUAUACUAAAGGGUCAGGAGCAAGAAUAGCCAGCAGGGAGGGUGAGUGAGUAGUCCAGUUUUUAAUAGAUGUUGGUAGAAUAUGUACCCUGACUGAAGUGGAAAGAGAAGAAAGUUGGGUUGGAUAAAUAGGAGUUAAGAUAUCCUGCUGUGGGACCAGAGAGUGGAAUGAGGUUGGUGGAAUGGGAGAAGACUUAUUUUUAACGAUCGAUAUAAAUUGUGAUGUAUGUUCUGUGUACUAGCUAUGUCACAUACAAUGGCGUAUGGUCUUGGUGGAACCCCAAGCCGUAAGAAGACCAGAGGACCUGGAAGUAAGUUUAAAAGGUUUCUUCAGGAAAGUAGACUUUUUAAAUUUGAGUUUAACAUGAAGGCUACUAGUUUUAUAAGUUUGUUUUUCUCUCACACCUUUUCUUCCUUUGUUAUACAUUGAAGAGAAGACCAGAACCAACACAAAUGGGAGAGGUUCACUGCCAGGAGAAACCCGCCAGGAAAUGCUCAGAAGGGUCUCCUGGCUAAAAUGUAGCUACUGGAACUCAUUGUUGAUGUGAUUAUCAUGUAUCGUUUCUAUGUGUGAUCAUUAUAUAUACUUCAGACAUUGGUCUAGUUAAUUCUUCUAGUAAUUGAACUUUAAAAUGACAAUGUGGCUGAGAUUUGCAGAGAAAUGAUUCAGUAAAAAUUGCGUGUGAUGGAGGGAGCACCUAAUCCUCUUAGAUUUUGAUACAUUGGCUAUAUUAUACCAACAUAGAUUGAAAAUCUCUGUACGAAUGCUGGGAGGAGAAAAAGCAUGUAAUUAGUAGUUUGAGGAAAUAGUGUUGCCCAAAACAUUUCCCUGACUUGUAAUCGUGUCUGUUUGAGUGGAUAGUUACUCAGGUAUUUUGGGGAGUUGGUAAGAGUUACUGGUUUCCCUCUGCCCUAUCCUGUUUUCAGCGGCUUGCUUCCUUUAGCCUGGUCUUUGACCUCAUGUUUAUUACUGUUCCGUUGGAUGGAUUAUAGGAAUUUAAAAAAUAACCUGUAAAAUCGACCUUGCUUUUUUGGCUUGCUUUUAUAAAAUGGUAAUUUCAAGUGUUUUCUAAGAACAGACCAGAUUUCUUAGUUAUAUGAUAGACAUUACUCAGUUCCUGCAUUUUGGUUUUAGUCUCUAUUUGCGAAAUAUAUCAGUUAUAUUCUUUUCAGCAUCCUGGACUUUGUAUUUUAUAGUAAGUACAAGUUAGGAAGAAUGGGAAUGCUACCAAGUCUGGGGACCUGAUCUCUGCCAGAAACACUGUUUUUUCGUCUCUCCUUGACAAGAGAUGAUGAAAACUUGGCCUUAAAUGUAUAACGCAGCAUCUGCAAAAGGUUUUAAAAAUGUUCAAGUUGACAUUAUGAUAUAAUUUUGGUUAAUAGUCACAUUAUAGUAUAUAUAUUCCAAGUAUUUUUGGAGCAUAAAUAAAUGGAAUCAACUCUAAUUUGCCAAAACUCUCAUUUUUUUCCUAUAUACUAUAGUAUGAAAUAUAUAUCUGAAUACCUAAAAUUUUCGUGUGUGUUUUCCCAGUGUUAGUGUCUUAACCAUUUCCUUAAUUUUGCAUCCUUGUUAUCAUCCUGUCUUUUUUUUGCUCCUGUCUUCACCCUAGGCUUCUGUCUGGAGGCGCGCCUUUUCCUGCUCCAGUCUGAACCGGCUGCUGUCUAGAGAGCAGCAGGAGCAGAACUGUACCCGACAGGCCUCAGUGCUUCUCUGGGUUGGACGUGCUCUUGGCUGGAUUAUCAUUAGAUGAAUACUGGACAGCUCAUGUUGACAGUUGACUAUAAGUUUUCUGUUUGUCCCUUAAUAGUUAUUUUCCUUUGGCUAGUGCACACACACACACACACACACACACACACAUAAAAUAGCCUGGUUGCUAGUGUGGAAAUACUAAAAUGAGUUUCCUUUUUUUUCCUCUAAGAGUUUUAUCACAUCAUUAAAAGUAACUUAUGUGUUAAAAUGCUAAUUUAAUGUGAAUGUUUGUUUGAUGCCAUAUAAACUAAUAAGAGAACACUGUAUUUGGUCAACAAAAGGAAUGGUUUCUAAACAACCUAUAGGGGUACAUAAAUGAAUUGCAAGAGAUUAUGUCAUUGUUACAUUUGUGAAGGGCCAAGAUUGCUUGUGCUGAAUUAGUAGACACUGGAGUCAUAGAUUAGAUUAGAAAUAAUUGAUUCUGCAGUAGGUGUUGGUGACGUGGAAUAUAAGCUCCGUCUGGCAAGUAUUUGCUCCAUCGAAGAUUAAGUCAGCCAGUGUGGGUUAGAUAUGAGGUGCUUCUGUCUUCCAGCAACUCCAAGCAACUACUAAAUGUUAGAAGACAGCACAGUAAUUAUAAAACAAUGCAGAAAAAGUCUAAGAGAGAACAGAACAUCAGCACCUUUUAACAGUCAACUUGAGACUUGUUACAUAUGCAUGAAUUGAGAGGCAGACGGAAGGAAAAAUUCAAGAUUAUACAAAUUAAUAAAAAAUAUGUGUUGGAAUCUUGUUCUCAAAGCAUGCAUUUUGUUAUGGUCAGCUUUUGGAACAUCAUGUGACAGGUUAUCUAGCAUCCCAUUAUCUGUAAGAACCACCUGCUGUGUGUACAGUUCAGUAGUAGUGCUAGGUAUACUUUGGCACCUUGAUGAAUUACACAUGAAACCUGUUGCCCAAAAUAAAUGUGUUUACAGGGAGUUUGGCAAAGAGAAAUGAAUGUAAGAUGGAAUAAUUGGGAAGGAUUUUCA
Sapajus apella (tufted capuchin) is the source of this 3965-nucleotide long non-coding RNA. RefSeq lists it as uncharacterized. The transcript has 2 exons. NCBI's taxonomy places the organism in Eukaryota, Metazoa, Chordata, Mammalia, Primates, Cebidae. The record is from RefSeq and is a predicted model, not a curated record.